GAUGAACGCUGGCGGCGUGCCUAACACAUGCAAGUCGAGCGUGAUUAAGUGGAGUGAGGACUUCGGUCUGAGUGAAACUUAUGAAAGCGGCGGACGGGUGAGUAACGCGUGGGCAACCUGCCCCAUACAAAGGGAUAGCCACUGGAAACGGUGAUUAAUACCUUAUAAGUCGGUAGUCUCGCAUGAGAUAGCCGACAAAGAUUUAUCGGUAUGGGAUGGGCCCGCGUCUGAUUAGCUAGUUGGUGAGGUAACGGCUCACCAAGGCGACGAUCAGUAGCCGACCUGAGAGGGUGAUCGGCCACACUGGAACUGAGACACGGUCCAGACUCCUACGGGAGGCAGCAGUGGGGAAUAUUGCACAAUGGGCGCAAGCCUGAUGCAGCAACGCCGCGUGAGUGAAGAAGGCCUUCGGUUGGUAAACUACUGUCCUAUGGAAGGAAACAAAUAGACGGUAACCGUAGUAGGGAGGAAGGACCCCGGCCGUAACCGUAACGUGCCACGCAC
This 504-nucleotide ribosomal RNA is filed under the name uncultured bacterium. RNAcentral describes it as "bacterial SSU rRNA". It matches the Rfam family "Bacterial small subunit ribosomal RNA", at positions 28 to 522 of the family's 1533-position model. The record is from RNAcentral.